This 407-nucleotide RNase P RNA is filed under the name Arthrobacter sp. AET 35A. Its description in RNAcentral is "RNase P RNA component class A". It matches the Rfam family "Bacterial RNase P class A". From Rfam's summary of the family: Ribonuclease P (RNase P) is a ubiquitous endoribonuclease, found in archaea, bacteria and eukarya as well as chloroplasts and mitochondria. RNAcentral also lists the same sequence under 1 other name. Lineage: Bacteria; Bacillati; Actinomycetota; Actinomycetes; Micrococcales; Micrococcaceae. The record is from RNAcentral.
UGGGUUGACCAGGCGGUCGCGUUGGACCGGUCGCAGUGCCUUGUGCACGGGCUCCGGUUCGCCGAGGAACGUCCGGGCUCCGCAGAGCAGGGUGGUGGGUAACGCCCACUCGGGGUAACCCGCAGGAAAGUGCCACAGAAAAUAGACCGCUGCGCCAGGCAGCAAUGUCUGGGGUAGUAAGGGUGAAAAGGUGGUGUAAGAGACCACCAGCGUGCCGGGUGACCGGUGCGGCUCGGUAAACCCCACCCGGAGCAAGGCCAGACAGGGCGCGUUUGAAGGCUGCUCGCCUGAGUGUCCGGGUAGGCCGCUGGAGGGCGUCGGCAACGGCGUUCGUAGAUGGAUGGCCGCCGCUUCUUCGCCGGCGACGGCAGGAAGCACAGAACCCGGCGUAUCGGUCAACCCAUCCC